Long non-coding RNA from Drosophila yakuba, 1386 nucleotides. RefSeq lists it as uncharacterized. The transcript has 2 exons. NCBI's taxonomy places the organism in Eukaryota, Metazoa, Arthropoda, Insecta, Diptera, Drosophilidae. The record is from RefSeq and is a predicted model, not a curated record.
UUACCUAAUCAUUUUGUUGUAGUCAAAAUAAUAACAUACGAGUAAUUUUAUUGAUUAAUAAGUUGUUGGCUAGUGCCAUGUGUACUGUGUUAUACAAAAAUGAAAGGCUAGUGGGGAGUAUCGGCUCUUGUUUUUGCAUAACGGUUAAAAGUAUCUCAAAGAACGGUCCAGAGAUGAAGGAACAAGAUGAGAUAUAUGACCAACAUUAAGGAGUAUAUUUCGAAUAAGCUUCCUCUCGAGAGAUAGACACCUCCGCAACGCCUGCCGAUAGGAAUCUCCCAAAAGAACUAAGUUUAAUUUUGCCUGCAACCGGAUAGAAUAAUCACCAGACGGCAUUCGGGCGAAGUGCUUCAUCAGUAAUAUUUGGAGCAAUUGUUGCAGUUAUGUUUGUAGAGUAGUCGGAAACAGUGGACCGCCGGAUAAAAUCUACCAAAAACCCAUCAGUAACGAAAGUGUAAUUGCCUAUUUCCGAAACUGCGCCAUAGGAUCUUAACUUUUUAAGUUAAAGCUAGUUGGCAAAACGGAAUGUAAUAAGAUGCAAUUGCGAACCGGAAUCAAGCAAUGCCCGACCGGGAAUGAACGAUCCAUUACAGCUGUUAACUAAAACAGACGCAGUGGCUAAAAGCGCAAUGUCACUACCGGAAUCCUGUGCAAUGAGUGCAGUGGCAUGCAGUGGCAUUCCUGCUCGGAAGAAGAGAUUGCAUUUUCAAAAUUCAGCAAAGUGUGAUGCCUAGACCCACAAGUGCGGCAGUGACUUGCAUUGCAUUGCCGUAGAUUAUGCCCUCGUUUAAGGCAGUUCAUACACGGGGCAAGCCUUUUUACCUAUAAGACUAUCAGAUAGCGUUAACUCCCGGAACCGGGAACCAAAUAGUAGUUGGGGCAAUAGCUAUAAAUGAGAAUUUGUUAUCGUGUCUAUUUUCUCACACCUGGCCGCCUGGCGAGUAGGUUGCCAUAGCGUAGUCCACGGAUUCUAAUGUUCUGCAGCGCUGCUCCAGAAAAUUUGCCAUCAAUUCCCACGACGAAAUCAAAUUCAUAAAUGCGAAUGAAGGCGAGCCCAAGCCUUUGAGAGCGCGAAUAUGAAUAUAGUUCCGAUAGUUCCCGUAGUUAAGAAACUGAUCCAUUACCAAUACUUUAGGUGCUGCAAUGGUAAUUGGCUAGGUCCGGAUGGCAGUCUAUAAUAAUUAUAAACAUCGAGUAAAAGUCUGUCCAGUUCGCAUAUGCGAACUAUGUCGCGUCUGAUGCCUUGGAUACCUGCAAUUAUUCGGCGUGACAUCUUCGGCAAACGUGGAAUGCGUAGCAAAAUUGGCAUUACGCUUGCAAAUCGCUCGUAUGCUAGCCUUGAACUAAAUAAACUUUGAAUAAACCACACUUAUUGUUCAAUUAAUA